CAGUAGCCGCGGUAAUACGUAGGUGGCAAGCGUUGUCCGGAAUUAUUGGGCGUAAAGGGCUCGCAGGCGGUUUCUUAAGUCUGAUGUGAAAGCCCCCGGCUCAACCGGGGAGGGUCAUUGGAAACUGGGAAACUUGAGUGCAGAAGAGGAGAGUGGAAUUCCACGUGUAGCGGUGUAAUGCGUAGAGAUGUGGAGGAACACCAGUGGCGAAGGCGACUCUCUGGUCUGUAACUGACGCUGAGGAGCGAAAGCGUGGGGAGCGAACAGGAUUAGAUACCCCUGUAGUCCCUGUCUCUUAUAC
This 301-nucleotide ribosomal RNA is filed under the name uncultured bacterium. Its description in RNAcentral is "partial 16S ribosomal RNA". It matches the Rfam family "Bacterial small subunit ribosomal RNA", at positions 509 to 807 of the family's 1533-position model. The record is from RNAcentral.